Molecule: ribosomal RNA, 292 nt
Filed under: uncultured bacterium
Lineage: Bacteria
Description: partial 16S ribosomal RNA
Rfam family: Bacterial small subunit ribosomal RNA
Source: RNAcentral
GUGUCAGCAGCCGCGGUAAUACGUAGGGGGCAAGCGUUGUCCGGAUUUACUGGGCGUAAAGCGCGUGUAGGCGGGAGCGAAAGUCCGGUGUGAAAGCCCCCAGCUCAACUGGGGAAGGUCGCUGGAAACUGCGCUUCUUGAGGGCGGCAGAGGGAAGUGGAAUUGCUGGUGUAGCGGUGAAAUGCGUAGAGAUCAGCAGGAACACCCGUGGCGAAGGCGGCUUCCUGGGCCGCGCCUGACGCUGAGACGCGAAAGCGUGGGGAGCGAACGGGAUUAGAUACCCCGGUAGUCC